Molecule: unclassified non-coding RNA, 147 nt
Filed under: soil metagenome
Description: partial internal transcribed spacer 1
Source: RNAcentral
CCGAGUUUACAACUCCCAAACCCCUGUGAACAUACCUACUUACGUUGCCUCGGCGGAUCAGCCCGCGCCCCGUAAAACGGGACGGCCCGCCGAGGACCCCUAAACUCUGUUUCUUAGUGAACUUCUGAGUAAAACAUAAAUAAAUCA